RNAcentral lists this long non-coding RNA (4178 nucleotides) under Triticum aestivum (bread wheat). RNAcentral describes it as "long non-coding RNA (TAES_LNC007509)". The record is from RNAcentral. Lineage: Eukaryota; Viridiplantae; Streptophyta; Magnoliopsida; Poales; Poaceae.
GGACUCGAUACAAUCCACGAGUGUCUCCUCCAUCUUCCUUGGUUUCCACCCUAAAUUCUUCAGCUUGUCCGAAGUGACUCCAACGUUAAAGUCCACAUCAACCAUCCUGCCAACCCAAAAUUUCGUAAUGAAAAUCCUUCGUAGUAUAUGAUAAGCAAGCUAUGACAUGGUGUUGAUAGUCUUGAUGCCAUGACACUUACUUGUCUGCAUAAGUGUAGCUAGGGUACAUGUUCUUCAUGAUUGCCAGCAAAUCCUUUAGGUCCACUUGGUCCAGUGAGCAUAUGUAUCUCUCAGAUGGCCCUGCCUUGUUGUACAACAGGAGCAAUGCGUCGGUAACAUCGCGAACGUCUACGAUGGGAAAGAACUUGUUGUUCAUCAUGUCAGGGCCUCCUGCGAUCGGACAUAUGAUGGAACUACAUUAGGCAUAAGGAUGUGUAUUUUAAAAGGUCAUUCUCUGAACUUCAUUAAAACCGGGGGUGUCUUAUUACACUAUUAAUAUAAAAGCCGAGGAGCUCCUCCGACGUCAAUUUUUGUUCUGAACUUCAUCGCUCUGCUGCACUUCGACAACAAAAACAGCAAAAUGGAAGGAAAACAACCGGCUUUGGUUUCCAAAAGUACUAACCACUAACCACAUGUGAUGUGUAGGGCUGGAAUUCGAGCCGAGUCGAGCCAGCUCGGCUCGACUCGCUAGAGCUCGUUUCGUUAACGAGCUAGCUCGACUCGACUCGUUGUUAUAACGAGCUCAAAUCCAAGAUUGGCUCGACUCGUAUAACUCGCAAGCUGGCUCUUUUAGCUUGUUAAGCUCAUUAAAGAUAUGAACAUAAAACGCUCAUAUAUUAUAAAAUGACUAUGUAUAUAUUAAACAUAUAUAUCACUAAACAAUAGUAAUUUGCUUGUAACGCAUGAGUCUGGGCCUUCAACGGCUAGGCCUUGUGUUGUGUGCCUGGGACAUAGGGUGCUGAAUGGCUGAUCUUUUUUUGUAUUGGGAGUGGCUGAUCUUUUGUACCGAGCCUAACGAGUUACACGAGUACUCGUGAGAUUGGCUCGUUUAACUUGGUCUAUAAACGAUCUUAAACUAAAGCUCGGCUUGCCUCGUUAUUCUUCGAGUUCGAGCCGAUUCGAGCCGAGUCACGAGCUACUCAUUUAGCUCGCGAGCUUCGAGCUUUUUUUCCAGCCCCAGUGAUGUGCAAUGUACAAAAUGAUUAUGUAUCCUUGUGAUAGAUGAGCUGAGGAGUGGAACCUUUUAUCAUGUAGACGAGGACCUUGCUGCUGGUAUUGACCGCCACAUGCUGCAAUAGAGGGCCGAAGACCAGACCAGGGCAAAGUGCGACGACGUGCAGCCCGUUCUUCUCUCCGUAUUCCAGGGCCGAAGACCGGACUAUCCAGACGGUUAAAUUUUGUGGAGCUUGCUUAAUGUCCUAACAUGCUUGGAUGUAUGAGGAAUAAGAUUUUACCUUGGAUAUGACCAUUUGUGUGAUUUAUUUGUAUGCAUGGUAGCAUGGGGGGACUAUCCAGACGGUUAAAUUUUGUGGAGCUUGCUUAAUGUCCUAACAUGCUCGGAUGUAUGAGGAAUAAGAUUUGAUCUUGGAUAUGACCAUUUGUGUGAUUUAUUUGUAUGCAUUGUAGCCCGUAGCAACGCACGGGUAUACUACUAGUGUUCAUAACUCUGCAGUCACUGCUUUUAGAGUACUCCUCCAGAGUCCGCUUUCUCUUGACGGAAGUGAGCACAAAUGCACAAUUUUUACAUUUGCAUCCAUCCUGAAUGGACUAGUGGAGGAGUCGAGAAAUAGAGACCUAACCCGUGCUUAUUUUUGCAAAACACAUUUCAUGAUGUUUCAGGCCAAAUGCAGAAUCAAUGGCACAAUUAUGGGAUCAUUCUCAUUCCUGGAUAGGCGGCAUUCGGUAGAUGAAUGGAAGCCGGCAUGGUUCUUCGUCUGUAACCCCAAGAAGCCCUGCUUUUUCAUAGGACUCGAUACAAUCCACGAGUGUCUCCUCCAUCUUCCUUGGUUUCCACCCUAAAUUGUUCAGCUUGUCCGAAGUGACUCCGACGUUAAAGUCCACAUCAACCAUCCUGCCAACCCAAAAUUUCGUAAUGAAAAUCCUUCGUAGUAUAUGAUAAGCAAGCUAUGACAUGGUGUUGAUAGUCUUGAUGCCAUGGCACUUACUUGUCUGCAUAAGUGUAGCUAGGGUACAUGUUCUUCAUGAUUGCCAGCAAAUCCUUUAGGUCCAUUUGGUCCAGUGAGCAUAUGUAUCUCUCAGAUGGCCCUGCCUUGUUGUACAACAGGAGCAAUGCGUCGGCAACAUCGCGAACGUCUACGAUGGGAAAGAACUUGUUGUUCAUCGUGUCAGGGCCUCCUGCGAUCGGACAUAUGAUGGAACUACAUUAGGCACAAGGAUGUGUAUUUUAAAAGGUCAUUCUCUGAACUUCAUUAAAACCGGGGGUGUCUUAUUACACUAUUAAUAUAAAAGCCGAGGAGCUCCUCCGGUGUCAAUUUUUGUUCUGAACUUCAUCGCUCUGCUGCACUUCGACAACAAAAACAGCAAAAUGGAAGGAAAACAACCGGCUUUGGUUACCAAAAGUACUAACCUCUAACCACAUGUGAUGUGCAAUGUACAAAAUGAUUAUGUAUCCUUGUGAUAGAUGAGCUGAGGAGUGGAACCUUUUAUCAUGUAGACGAGGACCUUGCUGCUGGUAUUGACCGCCACAUGCUGCAACAGAGGGCCGAAGACCAGACCAGGGCAAAGUGCGACGACGUGCAGCUCGUUCUUCUCUCCGUAUUCCAGGGCCGAAGACCGGACUAUCCAGACGGUUAAAUUUUGUGGAGCUUGCUUAAUGUCCUAACAUGCUCGGAUGUAUGAGGAAUAAGAUUUUACCUUGGAUAUGACCAUUUGUGUGAUUUAUUUGUAUGUAUUGUAGCCUGGGGGGACUAUCCAGACGGUUAAAUUUUGUGGAGCUUGCUUAAUGUCCUAACAUGCUCGGAUGUAUGAGGAAUAAAAUUUGACGUUGGAUAUGACCAUUUGUGUGAUUUAUUUGUAUGCAUUGUAGCCCGUAGCAACGCACGGGUGUACUACUAGUGUUCAUAACUCUGCAGUCACUACUUUUAGAGUACUCCUCCAGAGUCCGCUUUCUCUUGACGGAAGUGAGCACGAAUGCACAAUUUUUACAUUUGCAUCCAUCCUGAAUGGACUAGUGGAGGAGUCGAGAAAUAGAGACCUAACCCGUGCUUAUUUUUGCAAAACACAUUUCAUGAUGUUUCAGGCCAAAUGCAGAAUCAAUGGCACAAUUAUGGGAUCAUUCUCAUUCCUGGAUAGGCGGCAUUCGGUAGAUGAAUGGAAGCCGGCAUGGUUCGUCGUCUGUAACCCCAAGAAGCCCUGCUUUUUCAUAGGACUCGAUACAAUCCACGAGUGUCUCCUCCAUCUUCCUUGGUUUCCACCCUAAAUUGUUCAGCUUGUCCGAAGUGACUCCGACGUUAAAGUCCACAUCAACCAUCCUGCCAACCCAAAAUUUCGUAAUGAAAAUCCUUCGUAGUAUAUGAUAAGCAAGCUAUGACAUGGUGUUGAUAGUCUUGAUGCCAUGGCACUUACUUGUCUGCAUAAGUGUAGCUAGGGUACAUGUUCUUCAUGAUUGCCAGCAAAUCCUUUAGGUCCAUUUGGUCCAGUGAGCAUAUGUAUCUCUCAGAUGGCCCUGCCUUGUUGUACAACAGGAGCAAUGCGUCGGCAACAUCGCGAACGUCUACGAUGGGAAAGAACUUGUCGUUCAUCGUGUCAGGGCCUCCUGCGAUCGGACAUAUGAUGGAACUACAUUAGGCACAAGGAUGUGUAUUUUAAAAGGUCAUUCUCUGAACUUCAUUAAAACCGGGGGUGUUUUAUUACACUAUUAAUAUAAAAGCCGAGGAGCUCCUCCGGUGUCAAUUUUUGUUCUGAACUUCAUCGCUCUGCUGCACUUCGACAACAAAAACAGCAAAAUGGAAGGAAAACAACCGGCUUUGGUUACCAAAAGUACUAACCUCUAACCACAUGUGAUGUGCAAUGUACAAAAUGAUUAUGUAUCCUUGUGAUAGAUGAGCUGAGGAGUGGAACCUUUUAUCAUGUAGACGAGGACCUUGCUGCUGGUAUUGACCGCCACAUGCUGCAACAGAGGGCCGAAGACCAGACCAGGGCAAAGUGCGACGACGUGC